AGUUUUGAGCUAAAUAUAUUAUAAUAUUAGUUAUUUAUAAAGGUGUUGUAAAACCUUAUUAAAAAUUAUAUUUAGGGGUGAUAGGCCUUUCAAAAACUAAGAUAUCUUGAAUCUAAUUAAAAGUAUGUAGUACAUUCGACACAACUAUUAAGUGAUUAGGCUUUAUAGAAUUAUUAACUUAUAAAGAUUUUAUUUACUAUAAUUUAAUAAUUAAGUAUGUAAAUAUAUUAAUAUAUAUAUAUUAUAAUUUAUAAAGAGUAAUUGGAUAAAUUAAAGUUCAUAAAUUUUGUAAUAAUGUUAAUAUUAGUAUUAAGUUUAUAUUUAUAUGAUGAACUCGGCAAAAAUGCUUCUCAACUGUUUAUCAAAAACAUAACUAUGUGAAUUAAUACAUAGCGGUUUCUGCUCAA
RNAcentral lists this ribosomal RNA (407 nucleotides) under Mandarina ponderosa. RNAcentral describes it as "partial 16S ribosomal RNA". The record is from RNAcentral. Lineage: Eukaryota; Metazoa; Mollusca; Gastropoda; Stylommatophora; Camaenidae.